Paramormyrops kingsleyae is the source of this 615-nucleotide long non-coding RNA. RefSeq lists it as uncharacterized. NCBI's taxonomy places the organism in Eukaryota, Metazoa, Chordata, Actinopteri, Osteoglossiformes, Mormyridae. The record is from RefSeq and is a predicted model, not a curated record.
CUGAUUGGUUGUCCGCCUGUAUAUCAGGAUACAUGGGAGUCAUGCUUGACAACAGGGCUUAUUCCAGUAAAAAAAACAACUGCGGAGCGUGUUCAGAGUUUGGGAGACGCUUAUUGGUCAGUUAUUGUCACGCCGAACGAAUGCGGAGGAAGCGUUAAGACUAUUGUCACUGGGGGACCUGGCUUUAAGUGGCCGGAAAUGCUAUUGGGGAGAUGUUGAGAAUGGAAGAGAAGAGCCAGGCAGUAAGACUGCAAACCAGUUCAAGUCCAUUUGUUAUGCUGUUGGAGAUGUAAUAUGUGAAACAUACUGUGGAAUGGUGAGCAGAGUCACAUGACAUGGGAUGGAACAAAGGAACAGUGAGUUGGAGUCAACAUGGUCCAAGCUCUGUAUCUGCCAAGUUCUCAUGGAUCACAAAGGCAUGUAGUUUGAGAUAUCUAAUAACUGUUUUUUUCUUAUGUGCCUGUGUGAAUGAAUGCUUGUUUUUCUCUGUAUUCAUGCAUGUUAGUGUCUUAUGAUGUACUUUUUCAGGUGUAAGUGCUUUUUGAGAUGAACUACCAUGACCCUUACUGGAUAUGAAACUACCUCACAGUUUUUUAUUUGUGGAUAAAGAAUUCA